UACGUAGGGUGCAAGCGUUAAUCGGAAUUACUGGGCGUAAGCGUGCGCAGGCGGUUUUGUAAGUUUGUCGUGAAAGCCCCGGGCUCAACCUGGGAAUUGCGAUGAAGACUGCAAGGCUUGAAUCUGGCAGAGGGGGGUAGAAUUCCACGUGUAGCAGUGAAAUGCGUAGAGAUGUGGAGGAAUACCGAUGGCGAAGGCAGCCCCCUGGGAUAACACUGACGCUCAUGCACGAAAGCGUGGGGAGCAAACAGG
This 252-nucleotide ribosomal RNA is filed under the name uncultured bacterium. RNAcentral's name for it is "partial 16S ribosomal RNA". It matches the Rfam family "Bacterial small subunit ribosomal RNA", at positions 524 to 776 of the family's 1533-position model. The record is from RNAcentral.